CCUACGGGAGGCAGCAGUGAGGAAUAUUGGUCAAUGGGCGAAAGCCUGAACCAGCCAAGUCGCGUGAGGGAAGACUGCCCUAUGGGUUGUAAACCUCUUUUGUCAGGGAGCAAUUGGCGCUACGUGUAGCGUUAUCGAGAGUACCUGAAGAAAAAGCAUCGGCUAACUCCGUGCCAGCAGCCGCGGUAAUACGGAGGAUGCGAGCGUUAUCCGGAUUGAUUGGGUUUAAAGGGUGCGUAGGCGGAAUGCCAAGUCAGCGGUAAAAUCGCGGGGCUCAACCUCGCUCCGCCGUUGAAACUGGCGUUCUUGAGUGGGCGAGAAGUAUGCGGAAUGCGUGGUGUAGCGGUGAAAUGCAUAGAUAUCACGCAGAACUCCGAUUGCGAAGGCAGCAUACCGGCGCCCAACUGACGCUGAAGCACGAAAGCGUGGGUAUCGAACAGGAUUAGAUACCCGGGUAGUC
RNAcentral lists this ribosomal RNA (460 nucleotides) under uncultured bacterium. RNAcentral's name for it is "partial 16S ribosomal RNA". It matches the Rfam family "Bacterial small subunit ribosomal RNA", at positions 338 to 795 of the family's 1533-position model. The record is from RNAcentral.